Molecule: long non-coding RNA, 173 nt
Organism: Xenia sp. Carnegie-2017
Lineage: Eukaryota; Metazoa; Cnidaria; Anthozoa; Malacalcyonacea; Xeniidae
Exons: 3
Source: RefSeq, a predicted model, not a curated record
AGAACGAAUAGUUCUGCUUUGCAAAAAAAGAUUUUUAGUGUUUUUUAUUAUUUAUCUGUGGCUUCUCUUCAAUAUUUGACUCCAGUUAUCCUUUUGGUCUUUCUGACGAUAUCUUUAAGAACUGCAGGUACUACCGACUGGGAGUCGACCAAUGCUUUAAUGAAACGUCUUCA